GUCCCACGAUAGUCGCUCCAUUCGCGUAUAUUAAAGUUGUUGCGGUAAAAAAGCUUCGUAGUUGGAUUUUCUGUUGAGGACGACCGGUCCGCACCAUGUGCGCGCAUCUGGCUCGGCCUCGGCAUCCUCUCGAAAGACGUUUCUGCGCUUGAUUGCGUGGGGCGGAUCUCGAGACUUUUACUUUGAGGAAAUUAGAGUGUUCACGGCAGGCUAUCGCCAGAAUACAUUAGCAUGGAAUAAUACUAUAGGAUCUCGAUUCUAUUUUGUUGGUUUCUAGAAGCGAGAUAAUGAUUAAUAGGGACAAUUGGGGGCAUUCGUAUCAACACGUCAGAGGUGGAAUUCUUGGAUUGUGUUGCGACGAACUACUGCGAGAGCAUUUGCCAAGGAUGUUUUCAUUGAUCAAGAACGAAAGUAAGGGGAUCGAAGACGAUUAGAUACCGUCGUAGUCUUUACCAUAAACUAUGCCAACUAGAGAUGGGGCAUCGUUCACUUACGACUUGCUCCGCACCUUAUGAGAUAUCAAAGUCUUUGGGUUCCGGGGGGAGUAUGGUCGCAAGGCUGAAACUUAAAGGAAUUGACGGAAGGGCACCACCAGGAGUGGAGCCUGCGGCUUAAUUUGACUCAACACGGGGAAACUCACCAGGCCCAGACAUAAUAAGGAUUGACAGAUUGAUAGCUCUUUCUUGAUUUUAUGGGUGGUGGUGCAUGGCCGUUCUUAGUUCGUGGAGUGAUUUGUCUGCUUAAUUGCGUUAACGAACGAGACCUUAACCUGCUAAAUAGAAGCGCAUAUUCUCGGAUAAGCGCCUUUCUUCUUAGAGGGACUUUAUGCGUUUCAGCAUGAGGAAGUUUGAGGCUAAAACAGGUCUGUGAUGCCCUUAGAUGUUCUGGGCUGCACGCGCGCUACACUGAUGCGUUCAACGAGUGUACAACCUUGCCCGAUAGGGUUGGGUAAUCUUUUGACACGCAUCGUGAUGGGGAUAGAUUAUUGCAAUUAUUAAUCUUCAACGAGGAAUUCCUAGUU
Molecule: ribosomal RNA, 1021 nt
Filed under: uncultured marine alveolate
Lineage: Eukaryota
Description: SSU rRNA
Rfam family: Eukaryotic small subunit ribosomal RNA
Source: RNAcentral